Molecule: long non-coding RNA, 416 nt
Filed under: Cyanistes caeruleus (blue tit)
Lineage: Eukaryota; Metazoa; Chordata; Aves; Passeriformes; Paridae
Description: lncRNA (ENSCCEG00000000602.1)
Source: RNAcentral
GAUUUUUAUUGGAGUGAAAUUCAGAUGCAAGUCAAGCUUAACCCCCUAGUAGAAGCUGCUUCAGGAGAGAAAAAAAAAAAUCUGAUUAGACAGGAAUAGAAAGACAGACCACUCCUGUGGGCAUCAAGGAUCCUCAGAAGAAAACUGAGCAGAGGGAUAUCCAAUCUAACCUGGAAGAAGGGCAAAGUAGAAUGUGGAGAUCAGGAACUUCAUCAGUCACUGACAGAUCAGAGGCAUGAUGGAUUGCAGCAUCUUUAUGCAGAGCAAUUGAAACAUUACAGAGAGCAGAUGUAAAAGGUGAGCAAGUCACAAAUCCUACUCCCAACUGCAGCUGGUUAGAACAGAGUAAGCAAGAGGUUUAAAAACUGAGGAAGACAGCCAAUAAAAGGAGAAAUACAUCAAUAAAUUAAAAGUCU